AUCUACCUGACUUCAAUCAUAAUAUUUUCAACUACAUUACCUCUUGUAUUUGAUAAAAAUACAUUUGCACUUGCUGUAUAGAGAAAAGAGAGACACCCACCCCUGCCACUGCUGGUAUGAACGGCAGAGCUGCCACUGCUGCUCUGGAACAUCAACCAGUGAUUGUAUUCUGCACUGGAUGAAGCAUCAGGGGGGCAAAGGACCCCACCGCUCCCCAAUUUUGAACUCCCGAGGGAUACUCCGAAAACCCAUUGUUCUGUUGGAGUAGCCAAAUGAAAAAAAAAUAAGGCAGUGAAUAAUCAGCUCCGCACGAUGUGCAUUCACCGUCUGAGAUUAAUUCUUAUGCAGUCACGUGUGCUCGGACCCAGCAAUCGGGUACAGCUGCCUCCUCACCUAGGCUGUCAUCGCUACUUAUCAGGUAGGAGGUUCACAGCUUCUGAUGACGGCCCAGGGGGUCCCAGCAAACUGUGCUUUCAGAGAUGCUGAAGUUGAUCUACAGCGCCGACAUGGAGCGGUGUGAAACCAUCUGGCUCAACAGAUGCAGCGGAGCGGAAAGAAACACCUCGUGUCACCAGGGACCUUACAGUUUAUCCCAAGAACAAAUAAAUUAUUCCUCAUUCAGAAGAUAGCAACAAAGAGAAAGCAAGAUGAGGCUUGAAUACCUGUUCAGCUGCUCCUGAGCAAGACAGAAGACACCGUUUUGAAUGCAAGACAAAUUUGUGUCCACAAGGAUUGCACCACUGGAUUUUGGAGGGUAGGGCAGCACACCUGAGCUACACUUAAUGAGGGUGCUCUGAUAGCACAAGAUAUGCACAGCAGCCAGUCCGUCAUGUGCAAAGCGCAGUCAUUUCUGCCUGCUGAUAUUUGGUAUUAAUCAGCACACUGUCGUAAUUAAAAUUUAACACCUGAAUUAGAAAGAUUUUGAUCAUUAAUGAUUGCACGCAAUGCCACACUCAGCAUGAACUACCAGAUAAGCAUUUCCAUUUUGUG
Molecule: long non-coding RNA, 990 nt
Organism: Numida meleagris (helmeted guineafowl)
Lineage: Eukaryota; Metazoa; Chordata; Aves; Galliformes; Numididae
Exons: 3
Source: RefSeq, a predicted model, not a curated record